RNAcentral lists this transfer RNA (66 nucleotides) under Nephrotoma sp. RNAcentral's name for it is "tRNA-Tyr". It matches the Rfam family "tRNA". From Rfam's summary of the family: Transfer RNA (tRNA) molecules are approximately 80 nucleotides in length. Their secondary structure includes four short double-helical elements and three loops (D, anti-codon, and T loops). Further hydrogen bonds mediate the characteristic L-shaped molecular structure. tRNAs have two regions of fundamental functional importance: the anti-codon, which is responsible for specific mRNA codon recognition, and the 3' end, to which the tRNAs corresponding amino acid is attached (by aminoacyl-tRNA synthetases). tRNAs cope with the degeneracy of the genetic code in two manners: having more than one tRNA (with a specific anti-codon) for a particular amino acid; and 'wobble' base-pairing, i.e. permitting non-standard base-pairing at the 3rd anti-codon position. Lineage: Eukaryota; Metazoa; Arthropoda; Insecta; Diptera; Tipulidae. The record is from RNAcentral.
GAUUAAAUGGCUGAAGUGUAAGCAGUAGAUUGUAAAUCUAUAUAUGAAGAAUAUCUUCUUUAAUCA